UCGAGUUGUUUGGGAAUGCAGCUCAAAGUGGGUGGUAAACUCCAUCUAAAGCUAAAUACUGGUGAGAGACCGAUAGCGAACAAGUACUGUGAAGGAAAGGUGAAAAGAACUUUGAAAAGAGAGUGAAAUAGUAUGUGAAA
Molecule: ribosomal RNA, 140 nt
Filed under: Listeria monocytogenes
Lineage: Bacteria; Bacillati; Bacillota; Bacilli; Caryophanales; Listeriaceae
Description: partial 23S ribosomal RNA
Rfam family: Eukaryotic large subunit ribosomal RNA
Source: RNAcentral